AUCCAGAGAAUUUAGCAGAGAUGCUUUAGUGCCUUCGGGAACUCUGAGACAGGUGCUGCAUGGCUGUCGUCAGCUCGUGUUGUGAAAUGUUGGGUUAAGUUCCGNAACGAGCGCAACCCUUAUCCUUUGUUGCCAGCACGUAAUGGUGGGAACUCAAAGGAGACUGCCGGUGAUAAACCGGAGGAAGGUGGGGAUGACGUCAAGUCAUCAUGGCCCUUACGAGUAGGGCUACACACGUGCUACAAUGGCGCAUACAAAGAGAAGCGACCUCGCGAGAGCAAGCGGACCUCAUAAAGUGCGUCGUAGUCCGGAUUGGAGUCUGCAACUCGACUCCAUGAAGUCGGAAUCGCUAGUAAUCGUAAAUCAGAAUGUUACGGUGAAUACGUUCCCGGGCCUUGUACACACCGCCCGUCACACCAUGGGAGUGGGUUGCAAAAGAAGUAGAUAGCUUAACCUUCGGGAGGGCGUUUACCACUUUGUGAUUCAUGACUGGGGUGAAGUCGUAACAAGGUAAGCGUAGUGCU
This 524-nucleotide ribosomal RNA is filed under the name uncultured bacterium. RNAcentral's name for it is "bacterial SSU rRNA". It matches the Rfam family "Bacterial small subunit ribosomal RNA", at positions 986 to 1509 of the family's 1533-position model. The record is from RNAcentral.